CCCAGUGGUAGUCUUAACGGCCGCAGUUGGUAACUGUGCUAAGGUAGCGUAAUAAGUUGUCCUUUAAAUGAGGAAAAGAAUGAAUGGUUUGACGUGAGAAUCUCUGUCUCCAUUAGAUUAAAAGAAGUUUUCUUCUUAGUGAAAAGUCUAAGGUUAAAUUAAAAGACGAGAAGACCCUUUUGAGCUUGACUUACCCCUCUUCAAGAAGAGGGGGAAAAUUUGGUUGGGGCAACUAAGGAGCAAGGUGAGCCUCCUUUAGAAUUGAAUAAUGAUCCAAAAUUUUUGAAGAAAGAAAAAGCUACCAUAGGGAUAACAGCGUUAUCUUUUCUGAGAGAACAAAUUGAAGAAAAG
This 351-nucleotide ribosomal RNA is filed under the name Divariscintilla luteocrinita. Its description in RNAcentral is "partial 16S ribosomal RNA". It matches the Rfam family "Archaeal large subunit ribosomal RNA", at positions 1954 to 2584 of the family's 2987-position model. Lineage: Eukaryota; Metazoa; Mollusca; Bivalvia; Galeommatida; Galeommatidae. The record is from RNAcentral.